Long non-coding RNA from Neofelis nebulosa (Clouded leopard), 1434 nucleotides. RefSeq lists it as uncharacterized. The record is from RefSeq and is a predicted model, not a curated record. Lineage: Eukaryota; Metazoa; Chordata; Mammalia; Carnivora; Felidae. The transcript has 8 exons.
UGGGCAGAGAGGGAGGAGAUGAAGAAGGAUGCUUUAUCACCUCAAGUAAGCUUCAUGCCCAGCAUGGAGCCCAACGCAGGGCUCAAACUCACAAUCGUGAGAUCAAGACCUGACUCCAGAUCAAGAAUCAGAGGCUCAACCUACUGAACCACCCAGACAUGUCCAGAAAAGCUGAAUCUUGAACAGAGCCUUGAAGAAAGUGCACCCAGCAGCUAUCCUCAAGGCCUUGCAGAAAGCACAGUCCCACUUUAGGGCCCCCUCACUGCUUCUGACACAUUCAGAGCUGUGUGAGAUCACACAAAGCCAUCAGGAAUACCUGCAGUUCCCAACCUGGAGAACUGAAAACAUUCCCCAGCAUGCUGCCAGCGUGAAGAAGCUCUGUAAUUACAGACAUGCAGGGGUUUGUGUUCCUGACCUCACUCAUCAAUGAAACACUUCCGUCCCCUUCACUUCCCACGGUGUCUUUAUCAAGGAAGCGGGAAGCUGGGCCCAUCAGAAAACCCAGGAUCCUGUGGAAAAGCUGCAUUAUAAUCGAUAGCCUCGUAAAUAAAUAAAUAGUCAACGCAUCCUGUCUCCAGCUCAGAGCUUCUUCAGGAAAAUCGAACCUCGACCCACUUCUGCUCGCUCAUUCUGGAUUUCUACGGAGGCCUCCAGAGGGAAGGAACACUUACAGGUCAUCUUGGGCAUCCCCCUGCCUCUGGGCCGGCCUGCCAUCAGUCAUGACCUGAAGGAAAUGAUUAGGAGGGGAGGAAUUCAGGCCUCAGAAGCAGUCGGUAAUCCAGACUCCUGGCUCUGAUGUGGCUAUCUCACAGCUGACAGACGUAGCUCUGGCUGCCCGGAACGUGGCAAAGGACUCAUUCCCUGGUACCUUCUAAGAGGCAAAGGCUGAGGGUAACUAGAGGAAGCUGAGAAUUCCUCUGCUCUGCUCUGCCUCGGCAGGAAGAGGGGACAGGAGGAGGGGAAAUGGGAAGGCCAGUGGCUCUCAUUCCAAAGGAGGAAAUGUUCCAGCUCCUCAAAUAAGCCAGCUCCAGAACUCACCAGCUCCCACCCAGGUCCACUCCAGUUUGGAGACUCCAUGGCUGCUUCCACAGCAGGAACAAAGAUGGACCUCUAUCCUGCCGGCCAUGAAGCCCUGGAGUGUGUGGACUGUACCUCCUUUCUUCCAUCUUUCUUGGACUCAUGCAGAGCUCUUGCCCUCCUUGUCAGAUUGGAUUGGGAGGCCCAAAGGGGCCACCUUUUACCCCCAAAUGGAAACUUCUCACAGACAGAAACCAUAUUUCCUUUUCCCAACCCUCUUCCCCAGGCUCUUACACCCUGCCUAGUUGUCUCCAUAAAGCAGCCGAUGCCCUUCUCAGCCCCUGCUGGACUCCUGGGACCCAGUUAGGAAGAAGAAAGAACCCAUAUUUCCAGGGGCCCAGUGCUCCACCUCAAGCA